GCAAUGUCUAAAAUUUAAUGAUACUAUUUCGCGUACUAUUGACGUUACGUGUGGUGUGCCCCAGGGCUCAAUCUUGGGGCCAAUCUUAUUCCUUCUCUAUAUAAACGACCUUCCUAAACUGAGCUACACGGCUGGACAGGGUCCGGUCGAAGCCCGGUGCCAUGCUGCUGGGGGCUGCUGCGGCCUGCGACGGAUGGCGGCUGUUGCUUCCGCUCCCUGAGGAGAUGCCGUCCUUGUGGCGCACAGGGCGGCUACCCACGGUUGCAGCCCGAUGGCUUCAUUCUCGGGACGCGGCCCGUUGGAUGUGCGACGACCGGCACCUUGCGACCGCUGCGGUGACCGGCAGCGGUGCCCCCUCUCCUGACUUGACAACGGACUACAUCUUCGUGCUGCCAUGGGGUGGCGCCACUGGUGGGACGAGCGCCACUGGUGGAGCAGGCGCCAUCUCUGAGGCGGUACAGCCGACCGGCUGGCUAACGGCGUCGAGCGCCUGAUGAAUGCUGCGCUGAGCGGCGAUACUGAGUCGCCGCUCUCGAACUGUCGACGUCCCACUGAGCUUGUUGGACAUGACUACGGGGCAGCCGACUAGACUACAUCCUCGGCCGCGGCCCGUUGGAUGUGCGAUGACCGGCACCUUGCGACCGCUGCGGUGACCGGCAGCGGUGCCCCCUCUCCUGACUUGACAACGGGCUACAUCUUCAUGCUGCCAUGGGGUGGCGCCACUGGUCGGACGAGCGCCACUGGUGGAGCAGGCGCCAUCUCUGAGGCGGUACAGCCGACCGGCUGGCUAACGGCGUCGAGCGCCUGAUGAAUGCUGCGCUGAGCGGCGAUACUGAGUCGCCGCUCUCGAACUGUCGAAGUCCCAGUGAGCUUGUUGGACAUGACUACGGGGCAGCCGACUAGACUUCAUUCUCGGCCGCGGCCCGUUGGAUGUAUGAUGACCGGCACCUUGCGACCGCUGCGGUGAGCGACAGCGGUGCCCCCUCUCCUGACUUGACAACGGGCUACAUCUUCAUGCUGCCAUGGGGUGGCGCCACUGGUGGGACGAGCGCCACUGGUGGAGCAGGCGCCACCUCUGUGGCGCUACUGCCGACCUUGGACCGGCGGGAUGACGGCGUCGAACGCCCUAUGACUGUGUGCUGGACGGCGAUACUGAGUCGCCGCUCUCCGGGCACCAUCCCCAUCGACCAAGGCCCGGCUGGUGGUUAGCGCCGGGUGCCGGAUGGCCGCUGCGCUCGGCGGCGGUGCUGGGUCGCCGCUCUCUGGAAUGACCGCUGACUCGUCUUUUUGAUCUCGUCUUUGUGUUACCGUCUGGUUAGGCACUGUCAAACUCCCCAAUAUAACCUUUAACACUAACUGUCCGUAUUCUAACAAAACUAACAUGUGAAUCCUUUCCGACCAAUCCCGUUUGACAGUGCCAUAAAUUAUGAAUUGUUCAAUGUGUGAUCCCAAAUUAUAAUCAAUAAACGGAACGGAACGGAA
Molecule: long non-coding RNA, 1482 nt
Filed under: Amphibalanus amphitrite
Lineage: Eukaryota; Metazoa; Arthropoda; Thecostraca; Balanomorpha; Balanidae
Description: uncharacterized LOC122369840
Source: RNAcentral